This 170-nucleotide unclassified non-coding RNA is filed under the name soil metagenome. Its description in RNAcentral is "partial contains 5.8S ribosomal RNA, internal transcribed spacer 2, and large subunit ribosomal RNA". The record is from RNAcentral.
AACCUAGCACACCUGCGGUGUGUACCUGCGGAGGGAUCAUCAGAGAGGGGUUGAGGUAUUCUGGCCUGUGAACAGUGUGCGGAGGCGCGUGCGCCGACGACAGCCGUGCCGUGAGCAGUGUACCAGGGCGUGAAGACAUACACACACACACAACUUUCAACAACGGAUCU